This 209-nucleotide ribosomal RNA is filed under the name uncultured bacterium. RNAcentral describes it as "partial 16S ribosomal RNA". It matches the Rfam family "Bacterial small subunit ribosomal RNA", at positions 524 to 729 of the family's 1533-position model. The record is from RNAcentral.
UACGGGGGGGGGCAAGCGUUUGUUCGGAAUUACUGGGCGUAAAGGGCUCGUAGGCGGCCAACUAAGUCAGACGUGAAAUCCCUCGGCUUAACCGGGGAACUGCGUCUGAUACUGGAUGGCUUGAGUUUGGGGAGAGGGAUGCGGAAUUCCAGGUGUAGCGGUGAAAUGCGUAGAUAUCUGGAGGAACACCGGUGGCGAAGGCGGCAUCC